CCAAUAGCGUAUAUUAAAGUUGUUGCAGUUAAAAAGCUCGUAGUUGAAUUUCGGGAUCAAUUAAUUGGUCGUGCCUCUGGUACGUACUGAUUUUAUUGGUUUCUCCCUUCUGACGAACCAUGAUGUCAUUAAUUUGGUGUCGUGGAGAAUCAGGACUGUUACUUUGAAAAAAUUAGAGUGUUUAAAGCAAGCUAACGCUUGAAUACAUUAGCAUGGAAUAAUGAAAUAGGACGUUUGAUCCUAUUUUGUUGGUUUCUAGGAUCGACGUAAUGAUUAAUAGGGAUAGUUGGGGGCAUUAGUAUUCAAUUGUCAGAGGUGAAAUUCUUGGAUUUAUUGAAGACUAACUACUGCGAAAGCAUUUGCCAAGGAUGUUUUCAUUAAUCAAGAACGAAAGUUAGGGGAUCGAAGACGAUCAGAUACCGUCGUAGUCUUAACUAUAAACUAUGCCGACUAGGGAUCGGGCGGUGUUACUAUUUUGACCCGCUCGGCACCUUACG
Molecule: ribosomal RNA, 497 nt
Filed under: uncultured Glomus
Lineage: Eukaryota; Fungi; Glomeromycota; Glomeromycetes; Glomerales; Glomeraceae
Description: SSU rRNA
Rfam family: Eukaryotic small subunit ribosomal RNA
Source: RNAcentral